This 72-nucleotide transfer RNA is filed under the name Aeropyrum camini SY1 = JCM 12091. Its description in RNAcentral is "tRNA-Arg (GCG) (tRNA-Arg-GCG-2-1)". It matches the Rfam family "tRNA". From Rfam's summary of the family: Transfer RNA (tRNA) molecules are approximately 80 nucleotides in length. Their secondary structure includes four short double-helical elements and three loops (D, anti-codon, and T loops). Further hydrogen bonds mediate the characteristic L-shaped molecular structure. tRNAs have two regions of fundamental functional importance: the anti-codon, which is responsible for specific mRNA codon recognition, and the 3' end, to which the tRNAs corresponding amino acid is attached (by aminoacyl-tRNA synthetases). tRNAs cope with the degeneracy of the genetic code in two manners: having more than one tRNA (with a specific anti-codon) for a particular amino acid; and 'wobble' base-pairing, i.e. permitting non-standard base-pairing at the 3rd anti-codon position. Lineage: Archaea; Thermoproteati; Thermoproteota; Thermoprotei; Acidilobales; Acidilobaceae. The record is from RNAcentral.
GCUUGGGACAUUUGUAUUUAAGUGCUGGCCUGCGGAGCCGGGGGGUCCCGGGUUCAAAUCCCGGCCCAGGCC